The sequence is a small nuclear RNA, 113 nucleotides long. Its record names the gene U5. It matches the Rfam family "U5 spliceosomal RNA". Rfam says of the family: U5 RNA is a component of both types of known spliceosome. The precise function of this molecule is unknown, though it is known that the 5' loop is required for splice site selection and p220 binding, and that both the 3' stem-loop and the Sm site are important for Sm protein binding and cap methylation. The record is from Ensembl.
UGCUCUUGUUUCUGUUCAAAUCGUAUAAAUCUUUCGCCUUUUACUAAAGAUUUCCGUGGAGAGGAACACAGAGAGUUUCGCCUAAUUUUUUGAUACCCUGCGUCAGUGGGGUU